CAAUGGUUCUAUGUCCAGGCAGGGGCCGGUAAUGAGCAGUGCCCCCCAGAGGCCUGUCUUGGGACCAGUGCUCUUUAACAUCUUUAUCGAUGACAUCCAUAAAGGAGUUAAGUGCACCCUCAGUAAGUCUGCUGAUGACACCAAGCUGAGCGUUGUAGUUGACACAAGGGAAGGAAGGGUUGCCACUCAGAGGGACCUCAGCAGACUUGAAGGGCGGGCCUGGGUGAACCUAAUGAGGUUCAGCACAGCAAAGUGCAAGGUUUUGCACUUGGGCUGGAGGAAUUGCCGGCAUCUAUACAGACUGGAAGGAGCGGUCAUUGACAGCCACCCUGCAGAAAAGGGCCUGAGGGUAGAGGACCUGGUAGAUGAAAAACUUGACACGAGCCAGCAGUGUGCUCUUGCAGCUUGGAAAGCAAAUGGUGUCCUGGGCUCCAUCAGAAGAGAGAUGGCCAGCAGGGACGUGAGAGGUGAUUGUCCCUCUCUACUCUGCCCUCGUGAGGCCCCAUCUGGAGUACUGCAUCCAGAUCUGGGGCCCCCAGUACAGGAAAGACAGGGAGCAGUUGGAGAGGGUCCAGAGGAGAGCCAUGAAGAUGAUCAGGGGGCUGGAGCACCGGUACGAAGUAGAGAGGCUUAAAGUAAGUGCAGAGGUGUGGGAAGCCAUUAGAACCAGCAUUAACCACAAUGAACUUCUGAGGAUCCCAUUUCUUUCCAAGGAUUUACUUGUUGUAGUAGGCCACAAAGACAUUCUGAAGAAUGUUGUCCGAGAACUGAAUUUCCUGAUAGAGAAAGUCCCCAAAGAAAUUGAAAGAGAAAAGCAAGCAACUGAAGAAAUAGUGACUCUGAGUCCAGGGGAUUUUGCAAUUUUGCAGAAUGUUGGUUUUGAAGAAAGAAUUCGCGGGGAAUUCCCAGCUCUGCAGCUAACUUACAAUCCUACGCAGAAGAUAAUUAACCUAUAUGGACUGUGUGAGGAAGUUCAUAAAGUGAAAGGGGAUAUAUUGAUUAAUAUGUUAAAAAAAAGAAAAAAAGAAAAACAUUACUCUCCACCCUUUUGUUUUUCAGAUUUGGCAACAACAAUGAGAGGUUUCUGUUCCAUGGGACAAGAGUCAUUAACCUUCAUUAACAACUAUGGAUUUAACCGCAGCUCUGCUGGAAUGCACGCUGCACAGUAUGAAAAUGGAACUUACUUUGCUGUUAAUGCCAGCUAUUCUGCUAAUGACGUCUACUCAAAACCAGAUGCAAAUGGGGAGUGGGUUCACCUGCACAUGCCAGAAGACCAGAGAUACAGACCUUCUGGACAUGAGUUCUCAUUUAAUACUCGUUCCAUUUAAGUGUACAAGAACAGUUGCAAAGGACACUGUGGAAAUUAUGACAGAGUGAAUCUAAUGUCACUGAGUGCCUCCACUACAGCCUUCUCCAUCAAGUUCCAAACCACUUAGUCAAUGUAUGACCACUUAUGACAAUUCAGAUCCUCCGCUGGCAAAUUUAAAAUAAAUUUAAUAUCCACAGAUGCUAGAAAUCCA
RNAcentral lists this long non-coding RNA (1520 nucleotides) under Chrysolophus pictus (golden pheasant). Its description in RNAcentral is "lncRNA (ENSCPIG00010014520.1)". The record is from RNAcentral. Lineage: Eukaryota; Metazoa; Chordata; Aves; Galliformes; Phasianidae.